GGCCCGGUGGCGGAAAGGUUACGCAAAAGCUGUGUAAGGCUUUCAUCUUGGUUCAAAUCCAAGCCGGGCCUCCA
This 74-nucleotide transfer RNA is filed under the name Hyphomicrobiales bacterium. Its description in RNAcentral is "Rhizobiales bacterium (bioreactor metagenome) tRNA-Thr". It matches the Rfam family "tRNA". Rfam says of the family: Transfer RNA (tRNA) molecules are approximately 80 nucleotides in length. Their secondary structure includes four short double-helical elements and three loops (D, anti-codon, and T loops). The record is from RNAcentral. Lineage: Bacteria; Pseudomonadati; Pseudomonadota; Alphaproteobacteria; Hyphomicrobiales.